GAUGAACGCUGGCGGCGUGCCUAAUACAUGCAAGUCGAGCGAACAGACGAGGAGCUUGCUCCUCUGACGUUAGCGGCGGACGGGUGAGUAACACGUGGAUAACCUACCUAUAAGACUGGGAUAACUUCGGGAAACCGGAGCUAAUACCGGAUAAUAUAUUGAACCGCAUGGUUCAAUAGUGAAAGACGGUUUUGCUGUCACUUAUAGAUGGAUCCGCGCCGCAUUAGCUAGUUGGUAAGGUAACGGCUUACCAAGGCGACGAUGCGUAGCCGACCUGAGAGGGAGAUCGCCCAAGCGGGAAUGGGAACAGGGUCAAGACGCCUAGGGAGGGAGAAGGAGGGAAACCUUCGAGAAGGGGCGAAGGCCGGAAGGGGCACGGCGGCGGGAUGGAGAAAGGGCUGGGGAGCGAAAAAUCUGUUUAUGAGGAAAAAAAAAAGGGGAAAGAAAAAAUGCCCGUCUGGACGUUACCUAAAAAGAAACCCACGCCUACCCACGUC
Molecule: ribosomal RNA, 497 nt
Filed under: uncultured bacterium
Lineage: Bacteria
Description: partial 16S ribosomal RNA
Rfam family: Bacterial small subunit ribosomal RNA
Source: RNAcentral